This 1506-nucleotide long non-coding RNA is filed under the name Equus caballus (horse). Its description in RNAcentral is "lncRNA (ENSECAG00000046491.1)". Lineage: Eukaryota; Metazoa; Chordata; Mammalia; Perissodactyla; Equidae. The record is from RNAcentral.
GAUGGUUUUAACAGUCUUUCUCUCUUUCCCCUUUUAACAAAACUCCGUGGAGACCGCUUGCUCUUGCCCCGGGGGUCUGGAGCAAUAGUGUGUGGGGCUCGCUCCGGCCGUGCUUUAUUUUUCAACAGCCACUUUGUUGCUUUCACUGUUGGCCGUCAUCUGCUCAGCAGCCUCCUUAUUUCCUCCUGGUAGACCCCUGAGACAGACACCUACACGGCCUCCAACUUCCCGCCUCAAGAACAUCCUUAUCUGGUGCAAAACUUUCAGUGAACAGAAAAGCGUGGAAGAGAAUACCAGGUUCCCCCAACUUAACGCGGACCCAGUUCUGGCUGAAACAAGAGGGGACGUCUAUGUGUCUCUGCUGGUGGACAGCCUGGGGACCCCGGGUCCACUGCCCCUUGCUCCACCAUCCUCUAGAGCAACGUCUCCAGGGACACUUGGCUGUGUCUGGAGACACCUCGGUUGUCACACCUGGGGAGGGUGGGCUACUGGCAUCUAGUGGGUGGUGGCCAGGGACGCUGCUCAAUAGCCUACAAGGCAGGGGACGGCCCGUGACAAAGAACGGUUGGGCCCUCAAUGGCAAUGGUGCUGUCUGCCCUGGGAGCGUCCCCACGCCUCUCCUUCAGGAACGACUGGUGAAGAGACCCCGAGAGUCGUCCUGUGGUGCAUCUGACCCUCCGGCUUUGUCCUUUGACUCGUUUCUCUCCUCCUUCCCUUUCCUGCAAACUGGAGGUUCUGCUGAGAGGCCUGAUCAGGAGUCAGGGUGAAGGUUUUCGCAGGCUGCGUCCUCGGGGCCGCUGUGAACUUCCUUCCGCCUCCUGUCAAGGGGCCCACGAGGCUCACAGGUUCCACCCCGGUGUCGGCUUCACUGCAGCCCGUGCUGCCGGCAGUGUGUCCUCGGUGGCAAAGUCGGCUCCCUGACUCCCACCCCGAGCCCUCUGGCGCCCUGAGCGUGUCCUGUUUCCCCUCAUGCUCUGAUCGCCGCCUAAGUUGUUUCACUGACUUUUUUGCAAAAUGGAGACUUUUCGAAUUCUCUCAUUUCUUCCGCCUUUUCUUAGCUGGCAUUCCUCUUGGGCUGCUUUGUGACUGCGAAACACAGCUACUGCCGGGAAGGCGAGACCGGGCUUAAUGCCUCACUUUGAAUUACCAGCAUCUCCAGGAAGGAGCUGGCUGAGAGCGCUUCCAACGGCAUAAUCGACGUGUGUGAGUUUAACUUUCACACUGAGGCACACCCCACAGCGAGCGCGCAGAUCUCGAAUGGAGAGCUCAGGGAAUUUCUGCAUCUAUUUGCCCAAGAAACCGCCACCAGACAAACACAGACCAUUUCCAGCCCCACAAAGGACUUCCGGGUUUGGCUGUGCCCAGCGUGGGGUUCAGGGGCUUCAGGAAGACAUGGAAACAGCCAGAUGUUUGUUCCUGCUCCCAGGCCUUUGCCUCUGGAGUUCCUCCACCUUGGUUUUGUGGGGUUGCUUCUCCUCCCAGCUCAGGCCCGCCCGCAUGUCCUCU